This 854-nucleotide ribosomal RNA is filed under the name Pseudomonas aeruginosa. RNAcentral's name for it is "bacterial SSU rRNA". It matches the Rfam family "Bacterial small subunit ribosomal RNA", at positions 17 to 864 of the family's 1533-position model. The record is from RNAcentral. Lineage: Bacteria; Pseudomonadati; Pseudomonadota; Gammaproteobacteria; Pseudomonadales; Pseudomonadaceae.
UCAUGGCUCAGAUUGAACGCUGGCGGCAGGCCUUAACACAUGCAAGUCGAGCGGAUGAAGGGAGCUUGCUCCUGGAUUCAGCGGCGGACGGGUGAGUAAUGCCUAGGAAUCUGCCUGGUAGUGGGGGAUAACGUCCGGGAAACGGGCGCUAAUACCGCAUACGUCCUGAGGGAGAAAGUGGGGGAUCUUCGGACCUCACGCUAUCAGAUGAGCCUAGGUCGGAUUAGCUAGUUGGUGGGGUAAAGGCCUACCAAGGCGACGAUCCGUAACUGGUCUGAGAGGAUGAUCAGUCACACUGGAACUGAGACACGGUCCAGACUCCUACGGGAGGCAGCAGUGGGGAAUAUUGGACAAUGGGCGAAAGCCUGAUCCAGCCAUGCCGCGUGUGUGAAGAAGGUCUUCGGAUUGUAAAGCACUUUAAGUUGGGAGGAAGGGCAGUAAGUUAAUACCUUGCUGUUUUGACGUUACCAACAGAAUAAGCACCGGCUAACUUCGUGCCAGCAGCCGCGGUAAUACGAAGGGUGCAAGCGUUAAUCGGAAUUACUGGGCGUAAAGCGCGCGUAGGUGGUUCAGCAAGUUGGAUGUGAAAUCCCCGGGCUCAACCUGGGAACUGCAUCCAAAACUACUGAGCUAGAGUACGGUAGAGGGUGGUGGAAUUUCCUGUGUAGCGGUGAAAUGCGUAGAUAUAGGAAGGAACACCAGUGGCGAAGGCGACCACCUGGACUGAUACUGACACUGAGGUGCGAAAGCGUGGGGAGCAAACAGGAUUAGAUACCCUGGUAGUCCACGCCGUAAACGAUGUCGACUAGCCGUUGGGAUCCUUGAGAUCUUAGUGGCGCAGCUAACGCGAUAAG